GUCUACAUCCAUACCACCUUGAUCGUGCACGAUCUCGUCUAAUCUCAAAAGCUGAGCACAGUCGGGCCUGAUUAGUACCUGGAUAGGAGAAAAGGUCUUAGGAA
This 104-nucleotide ribosomal RNA is filed under the name Chinchilla lanigera (long-tailed chinchilla). Lineage: Eukaryota; Metazoa; Chordata; Mammalia; Rodentia; Chinchillidae. The record is from RNAcentral.